AGAGUUUGAUCCUGGCUCAGAUUGAACGCUGGCCGCUGGCUUAACACAUGCAAGUCGAGCGGGGAAGGGUAGCUUGCUACCUGACCUAGCGGCGGACGGGUGAGUAAUGCUUAGGAAUCUGCCUAUUAGUGGGGGACAACAUUCCGAAAGGAAUGCUAAUACCGCAUACGCCCUACGGGGGAAAGCAGGGGAUCUUCGGACCUUGCGCUAAUAGAUGAGCCUAAGUCAGAUUAGCUAGUUGGUGGGGUAAAGGCCUACCAAGGCGACGAUCUGUAGCGGGUCUGAGAGGAUGAUCCGCCACACUGGGACUGAGACACGGCCCAGACUCCUACGGGAGGCAGCAGUGGGGAAUAUUGGACAAUGGGCGAAAGCCUGAUCCAGCCAUGCCGCGUGUGUGAAGAAGGCCUUUUGGUUGUAAAGCACUUUAAGCGAGGAGGAGGCUACCGAGAUUAAUACUCUUGGAUAGUGGACGUUACUCGCAGAAUAAGCACCGGCUAACUCUGUGCCAGCAGCCGCGGUAAUACAGAGGGUGCGAGCGUUAAUCGGAUUUACUGGGCGUAAAGCGUGCGUAGGCGGCUUUUUAAGUCGGAUGUGAAAUCCCUGAGCUUAACUUAGGAAUUGCAUUCGAUACUGGGAAGCUAGAGUAUGGGAGAGGA
RNAcentral lists this ribosomal RNA (656 nucleotides) under uncultured bacterium. RNAcentral describes it as "bacterial SSU rRNA". It matches the Rfam family "Bacterial small subunit ribosomal RNA", at positions 8 to 658 of the family's 1533-position model. The record is from RNAcentral.